Long non-coding RNA from Anastrepha obliqua, 818 nucleotides. RefSeq lists it as uncharacterized. The transcript has 3 exons. The record is from RefSeq and is a predicted model, not a curated record. NCBI's taxonomy places the organism in Eukaryota, Metazoa, Arthropoda, Insecta, Diptera, Tephritidae.
AUGAAGGGAAUGAAGAAGAGUUUUGUAACGAAGGCAUCGCAAAAGGAAAUGUUCUGCGAUUCAGAUAAGGUGAAUAACCAGCUAAAAGCAAAAUGUGCAAAACUUGGUAAAUAUCAUUACGGUCCUUUUUAUUUUAAUACCUAAUUUUUAUUAAAAUUGUAUACUUCUUUUGGCAGAACUUGAGAACGAGGAGCUAACUAAGUUCCUGCAAGAGCUAAGAGCAGAUAUCUCACAAUUAAAAACAGAUGUAUCAACAAUAAAAAAUAGUACGGCAACCCAAGGUGUGAUUCUCGAAAAACUUGUUCAGAAGGUCUUACCAAAAACAUCAAAUUUAACCAUUUUGCCGUUCAAAACGAUUGAAGAGAUUAAGUCUGCAGACAACAUUUUAUCGCAGUAUCCUCGGGACGAAUUGGUGGCAUACGUACGCAAUACCGUAGGUGUUACUCCGAUAAGAAAAAUUGUUCCUUUCUUAUUUGCUGAAUCUACUAUGCCUUUCAUUAAUUGGGAUGGUCGUCACCAAAGAUUUGCAAUCAAAUCUCUUCAAUUUUUCAACGAAAUAGUUUUUCGUGCAGUUCAAGGUCCCGAUAUGGAUUUCUCCAAAUUUGACAGUGAAAUGCGGAAGGGGAUCCGAUCCGCGAAAAACAAAAUGUAUAAAAACAAAUCCAACCAGUCUUAAUUAUUUUCGAAGCAUAUCUUAAUCUACCAUAAUUUAUUUUGUAUGUAAGACUCAACCUUCAUCACAUUUUUUUACCAUUUUUAAGUUAACCAUUUAUGAACGUUAAUGUAACGUAAUGAAAACUUCCUUAUUUUAAAAUGAA